UACGUAGGGUGCGAGCGUUGUCCGGAAUUAUUGGGCGUAAAGAGCUCGUAGGCGGCUUGUCGCGUCGGAUGUGAAAGCCCGGGGCUUAACUCCGGGUCUGCAUUCGAUACGGGCAGGCUAGAGUUCGGUAGGGGAGAUCGGAAUUCCUGGUGUAGCGGUGAAAUGCGUAGAUAUCUGGAGGAACACCGGUGGCGAAGGCGGCAUCCCGGACCGGCAUUGACGCUGAGGCGCGAAAGCCAGGGGAGCAAACGGG
RNAcentral lists this ribosomal RNA (253 nucleotides) under uncultured bacterium. RNAcentral's name for it is "partial 16S ribosomal RNA". It matches the Rfam family "Bacterial small subunit ribosomal RNA", at positions 524 to 776 of the family's 1533-position model. The record is from RNAcentral.